UAUUAUACUAGUAAAUAUAAGUAAGCCUAAAUUAUUAAUAGGUAUGUUCUUUAAACUUGAAGAAUUUGGCGGUGGUUAAUACUUAUUAGAGGAACCUGUUUUUGAAUCGAUACACCACGUGGAAUCUUACUCAUUUUAUUUAGCCUAUAUACCGUCAUUAUCAGAUGAUUUUUAGAGAGCUGUAAUCAUUAAGGUUUAUGAAUAUAGAUAAGAGAAAUUAGAUCAAGGUGUAGCUAAUGAAUGAGUUAAAAUGGGUUACAAUGAAAUUUUAUUCACUACGGAAUAGUUAUGUGAAAUGUGCUAUGAAGGAGGAUUUAAUUGUAAUGAAAGUUUAAUAAGCUUGAAAGAUAUAAGCUCUAAACCAU
This 365-nucleotide ribosomal RNA is filed under the name Neoliomera pubescens. RNAcentral's name for it is "partial 12S small subunit ribosomal RNA". The record is from RNAcentral. Lineage: Eukaryota; Metazoa; Arthropoda; Malacostraca; Decapoda; Xanthidae.